This 72-nucleotide transfer RNA is filed under the name Camelus bactrianus (Bactrian camel). It matches the Rfam family "tRNA". From Rfam's summary of the family: Transfer RNA (tRNA) molecules are approximately 80 nucleotides in length. Their secondary structure includes four short double-helical elements and three loops (D, anti-codon, and T loops). RNAcentral also lists the same sequence under 2 other names. Lineage: Eukaryota; Metazoa; Chordata; Mammalia; Artiodactyla; Camelidae. The record is from Rfam by way of RNAcentral.
GAGAGUAUAGCUCAGUGGUAGAGCACAUGCUUAACAUGUACGAGGUCCUGGGUUCAAUCCCUGGUACCUCCA